RNAcentral lists this ribosomal RNA (385 nucleotides) under uncultured bacterium. Its description in RNAcentral is "bacterial SSU rRNA". It matches the Rfam family "Bacterial small subunit ribosomal RNA", at positions 29 to 414 of the family's 1533-position model. The record is from RNAcentral.
AAUGAACGCUGGCGGCGUGCCUAACACAUGCAAGUCGGAUGUGCCGCAAGGUGCAUGGCAGACGGGUGAGUAACGCGUGGGAAACCUACCUCUUUGUGGGGAAUAACGCUCCGAAAGGAGUGGUAAUACCGCAUGAGACCGUUGGCUGGGAUGCCGACGGUGAAACCUGGGGGACCGCAAGGCCUGGGGCAAGGGAGAGGGUCCUGCGUCUGAUUAGCUAGUUGGUGGGUAACGCCUACCAAGGCUUCGAUCAGUAGCCGGCCUGAGAGGGUGAUCGGCCACACUGGAACUGAGACACGGUCCAGACUCCUACGGGAGGCAGCAGUGGGGAAUUUUGCGCAAUGGGCGAAAGCCUGACGCAGCAACGCCGCGUGGGUGAUGAAGG